Patiria miniata (bat star) is the source of this 285-nucleotide long non-coding RNA. RefSeq lists it as uncharacterized. The record is from RefSeq and is a predicted model, not a curated record. NCBI's taxonomy places the organism in Eukaryota, Metazoa, Echinodermata, Asteroidea, Valvatida, Asterinidae. The transcript has 2 exons.
CCCACUUAUGUGCUACAUUAAGUAGCCUCCUUCCCACCACCAGAGUGACCUUGUGCACUUCCUAUGUGCAUACAGAGACCCUGUGUGGGUACAAGUACCACAUAAUCUUGCCACAUAAACAAUGGGCAGCCAUAUUUACUGACCAUGUGAUUUCAGAGACAAGUGUUUUCAUACUCAUUGCGAUUUAGUUCUUCAAGUUUCAUCACUUUAUUCACUCUUUGUGGACCUUGAAAGACCCCAUUUUGAUUGUUAUCUCAAUCUACUCAAUCUACUAUCAGCAAUCAC